UACGGAGGGGGGCUAGCGUUGUUCGGAAUUACUGGGCGUAAAGCGCACGUAGGCCGCUUUGUAAGUUAGAGGUGAAAGCCCGGGGCUCAACUCCGGAAUUGCCUUUAAGACUGCAUCGCUAGAAUUGUGGAGAGGUAAGUGGAAUUCCGAGUGUAGAGGUGAAAUUCGUAGAUAUUCGGAAGAACACCAGUGGCGAAGGCGACUUACUGGACACAUAUUGACGCUGAGGUGCGAAAGCGUGGGGAGCAAAUAGG
RNAcentral lists this ribosomal RNA (254 nucleotides) under uncultured bacterium. Its description in RNAcentral is "partial 16S ribosomal RNA". It matches the Rfam family "Bacterial small subunit ribosomal RNA", at positions 524 to 776 of the family's 1533-position model. The record is from RNAcentral.